This is a long non-coding RNA of Pectinophora gossypiella (pink bollworm), 546 nucleotides long. RefSeq lists it as uncharacterized. Lineage: Eukaryota; Metazoa; Arthropoda; Insecta; Lepidoptera; Gelechiidae. The record is from RefSeq and is a predicted model, not a curated record. The transcript is spliced from 2 exons.
AUUGCUCCGCUGAACACCCAAAGUGUGCUCCUGGUGGUAGAACGGGUAAAUUCUAAUGCUCUGUUGUGCCCCUUUAGUGGUACAGAAGGGAAACUUUUGAGUUACCUGUCGUGCUCCUUUUAAGUUAUGAACACAUUGGAGGGACUACUAAAAUGAAAUAAGUACUUGAAAUAUUUGUUUUAAAUGUAUAAUGUUAAGUAUUUAAAGAAUAAAGAACAUUUUAUUGAACCAAAACUUUCUUCCUUCUAAGUUAAAAAAAAUAUAUAUUUUGCUACUUAUAAUACUAUGCAAAUUAGUAGUUCUAUCUAAGUAGAUUUUAUUGUAGAGAUACUAUAACUUAUUUGAAGUACUCUUCAGAGUCAAGUGCAAAUAAAAUAGUCAUCAUGUGUUCCAUCCUUUGUAGGGGUAAAGUGGAACCAUAAAUAUAACGACAUAAGAUGUGCUCCACCAAACCACCAAAGGAGCACUACGGAUCAUACAAAAUUUACUCGUUCUACCACCAGGAGCACACUUUGGGUGUUCAGCGAAGCAGUCGUCAUUUUGUUA